AAGUCGUAACAAGGUUUCCGUAGGUGAACCUGCGGAAGGAUCAUUAAGAAAAGUCCCGGUGCCGCAAGGCGCCUACCUUUUAAACCAUGUGAAAACACCCGUUGCUUCGGCGGCAGCGUGCCCGACCCCGCCCUCCCACUUGGGGGGGGGAGACGAAGGCGCGUGUCAGUCCGCAGGGCUCCAAACCGAAACCUUUCCGUAACCGUAGUCUGAUAAACAAAGAUUAUUCGUUAAAA
Molecule: unclassified non-coding RNA, 236 nt
Filed under: plant metagenome
Description: partial contains small subunit ribosomal RNA and internal transcribed spacer 1
Rfam family: Eukaryotic small subunit ribosomal RNA (bases 1-46)
Source: RNAcentral